UGGGGAAUAUUGGACAAUGGGCGAAAGCCUGAUCCAGCCAUGCCGCGUGUGUGAAGAAGGUCUUCGGAUUGUAAAGCACUUUAAGUUGGGAGGAAGGGCAGUUACCUAAUACGUGAUUGUUUUGACGUUACCGACAGAAUAAGCACCGGCUAACUCUGUGCCAGCAGCCGCGGUAAUACAGAGGGUGCAAGCGUUAAUCGGAAUUACUGGGCGUAAAGCGCGCGUAGGUGGUUAGUUAAGUUGGAUGUGAAAUCCCCGGGCUCAACCUGGGAACUGCAUUCAAAACUGGCAAGCUAGAGUAUGGUAGAGGGUGGUGGAAUUUCCUGUGUAGCGGUGAAAUGCGUAGAUAUAGGAAGGAACACCAGUGGUGAAGGCGACCACCUGGACUGAUACUGACACUGAGGUGCGAAAGCGUGGGGAGCAAACAGGAUUAGAUACCCAAGUAGUCCCUGAGCGGGCUGGCAAGGCGCAU
RNAcentral lists this ribosomal RNA (472 nucleotides) under uncultured bacterium. Its description in RNAcentral is "bacterial SSU rRNA". It matches the Rfam family "Bacterial small subunit ribosomal RNA", at positions 355 to 825 of the family's 1533-position model. The record is from RNAcentral.